This 549-nucleotide ribosomal RNA is filed under the name uncultured Glomus. Its description in RNAcentral is "bacterial SSU rRNA". It matches the Rfam family "Eukaryotic small subunit ribosomal RNA", at positions 548 to 1098 of the family's 1831-position model. Lineage: Eukaryota; Fungi; Glomeromycota; Glomeromycetes; Glomerales; Glomeraceae. The record is from RNAcentral.
UUGGAGGGCAAGUCUGGUGCCAGCAGCCGCGGUAAUUCCAGCUCCAAUAGCGUAUAUUAAAGUUGUUGCAGUUAAAAAGCCCGUAGUUGAACUUCAGGCCUGGCUGGGUGGUCUGCCUAACGGUAUUGUACUGCUCGGCUGGGUCUUACCUCUUGGUGAGCCAGCAUGCCCUUCACUGGGUGUGUUGGGGAACCAGGACUUUUACCUUGAGAAAAUUAGAGUGUUUAAAGCAGGCUAACGCUUGAAUACAUUAGCAUGGAAUAAUGAAAUAGGACGUUCGAUCCUAUUUUGUUGGUUUCUAGGAUUGACGUAAUGAUUAAUAGGGAUAGUUGGGGGCAUUAGUAUUCAAUUGUCAGAGGUGAAAUUCUUGGAUUUAUUGAAGACUAACUACUGCGAAAGCAUUUGCCAAGGAUGUUUUCAUUAAUCAAGAACGAAAGUUAGGGGAUCGAAGACGAUCAGAUACCGUCGUAGUCUUAACCAUAAACUAUGCCGACUAGGGAUCGGAUGAUGUUAAUUUUUUAAUGACUCAUUCGGCGCCUUACGGGAAAC